UUCGAAGUCAAAACGAUAUUAGUAAAACUGAAACGACAUUUAACAUUUCAGUCAAUUAAAAUAUUUAAUUAUCAAAAUAAUAAUAAUAGAUGAAAAGUCGCUAUUAAAAGCGCUGGAGAUCGAAAAAGAUAGCAAUUCGACCGUGUUUGGUUUAUAUAAAAAGUUAUGACACAUUAUCAUGAUUUGUCACAACCAUUGAGAGAAUAUAUAAAAUUAAAAUCCAAAAUCCAUCAUUGCAACAUCUGAGUGUUCGUACCAUUAACUUAAAUAAUCAGAUCUAACCUCAAUUUUAAUUACUCUGCUAUCUAUCAAUCAACAAAAGAAAAAAGGUAAAAUAAAAAAGAUUCUUCUUUUUUUUUUUUUUUUUUUUCUAAUUUUUGUUUUAAUAAAUUAAACUAGAGAGAAAGAUUGAGGUCUAAUUCUUUAUUUCCAUUUCCUUCAUCACUUUCUUGUUUGUUUCUCACCGUCGUAGAAGGACCUGUUUCCGCUGCAAUCUCCAUCGCCGCCGGCCGCGGGGGCGGCGGUGGCGGCGGGACAUCCACGAAGUCUUCGAGUCUGAAUGUGGGAUUCCAAGGCUCCGCCGCCGGCUGGGGCUUGUCUCCGGUGGUCUUUUCUUUUCCGGCGACGAUACGCUCGCGCAAUUCUCGGGUGCUUUUAAUCAAAGCGAAGAAUUUCUCCAUCUUCUCCUCUUCGUUUUCUUCAUCGUCAUCUUCCAUUUUUCUUUUCUUUUUAUCUCCGUCCAUAACUCUAAACGAGGGGGUGGGGGGGUGGGGUGGUAAAGCGGUGGGGUUGGUGGUUAUUGAUGACUCUGAGAGAAGAUUAUUGCUAUGUGUGGAAGGUUAUAUAGAUGGG
This 852-nucleotide long non-coding RNA is filed under the name Erythranthe guttata (spotted monkey flower). Its description in RNAcentral is "long non-coding RNA (EGUT_LNC003652)". Lineage: Eukaryota; Viridiplantae; Streptophyta; Magnoliopsida; Lamiales; Phrymaceae. The record is from RNAcentral.